AUGUCACGCGAUUAGUCUCAAGUGCUUGUUGGAUCAUGGUGGUUGUGUUGUUCGAAUUGGACGGUUAAUUUAUAUGUAACUGGUGUGAUCCUGUGAAACAGAAGUGAAGUACAGAGGUUUCCACAGCCAUUGGAUCCUGACCUUGACCGAUGGUCUUCGUCACAGUCCGAGCUGAAGCGACGUCGCGGAAGCAAGAGUGCCGAAGACGUAAGGCAGUGUACGCGUGACGUCGCUCAAUCCCCUAAUCCACCACAUGGAGAAACUGACGCACGUGAUUUGUUGCAACUAGCGCUUGACCGCAUAUGCGAGUUGCAGAGAAAGCUGAUGCAGCGAGGCACUUGUGCCGCUGGAGGCCCAGUCGAAGAAUUUACAGUUACUUCUCUUAAUUUGACCUUCUACACAAUGAAGAAAAUCAUCAUCAACUUCGUACUUUUCUGACUUUCUGGCUCUCGGUAUAAGCCGUCGACCUGCAAAGCAUUGCCAUCGCAUUCGAAUGCUUAUACUUUUUACUACCUGAAGCUGCAGUUCAUCGUAGCUUCAUGUUACUUGAGCAUGAUAGACUUUUUCUUCCAAGCUUCCUUUCAUUACUGAAAGCUCUUCCUUCAAUCUCAACAGCUUCCAACUCUUCUCAACUGACAGGACAAUCCUCAGAUUCGGAAGAUGAUUUUGAUGAUGAAGAUGAUGAUGAAAACUACAGCGAAGCUAAUAACUCUUUCCAUGACCGCGAAAUAGUGUUGGCUGGAUACGAAUUCUGCCACAAAGAAGCUCUGAGGUUUCUCGUGGAAGAGGAACAUUUGGGACCAGAGCAUCCUGCAGUGCGGGAACUUACUGCUCAUUUGUCUUCCCGUAGGAACACAAUAGACUGUUCUCAGGUUCUGGCCAAUUAUUUGAUGCUGUCCUCCCCUUCUGCAGAUUCCAUAAAUGUGUAGUUCAGACAUAUGAUCGAUUUUAUUGCGGAUUUCAAAUGGAAAGUCUGCUAUAAUUUUAAGAUUCUUUACAAAAUAAUGAUCUCCCUAUACUUCCAAGUGAUCUGGUGUUUGAAUCUAAUAGCACAUUUUGAUUUGAUUUCUGUAGUAAAACGCAUGAAAAUACAUAUGCAUCGCGAUGCGCUCCCAGAUAUCCAGGCAGGCGUGGGAGGUUAAAUUUUAAUUUGCAACAUUUUCGUUCUCGAAAUGUAAGUGAACGACUACAAAUUUACCUGUAAUUCACCCUGGAAUCUACAUUUUGACCCAAGUAUGAUUAACGCGCUCAAAUCUUUUUGAACAGAACUUAUCGUGUUAUUUGUUUAAAUUAUACAAUUAACAAUAUUAUAAGUACGUCUACAAUUUGCCUAGUCGUGGAUGACAUGAAAAUUAAUAGGAUUACUGCCUUCUUUAUCAACGACAAAGUUCUUAAGUACUUCGACAACUUCAUAUCACAUACUACAACCUCUUUAACUAUACGAUGCGAUGCGUAGGGCACAGCUCAGCUCUACUAUAUUUAUUAUUAUUAAUACGUACAAGAGAACCAAAGUCAUUCAUUCUUUAAUAUAUUUCCUGCCUUUACACUCGAUUAUAAAUCACUGGAUAGCAAAUAGUUUGAUGAGUAAACUUUCAUUAUUAUACCAAGGGUAAAAAUAGGCACCGGGCUAAGUUAACAGGAUGGAGGCUGAUGUGCGAUCGGAUUUCUGGAGUCCUGGAAGUUUAUAAUGGUGGAAGACGUGUUUGGUGUGAAAAAUAAUCUAGUCAUUUGAAAUACUUAGUCAUAGUAAUAGUAAGACUUACUCUUUUUAUUGAAAACAUUAUUUUCAGUAUUACAGUAUAUUUCUGUAGUAACUAGGAUUAAGUAGAUGUUAAGAUAUUGCAAUUCACUUAAAAUAAAUAUUUCUGCAAAAAAUACCAUAAACUACAGAUCAUAUUUCAUGGACCAAUUUUGUGUCUAAACAUUUAAGUUUCUGUAGUGGUAGUUUUGCAUUGUCUCACAUACAUA
Molecule: non-coding RNA, 1968 nt
Organism: Zootermopsis nevadensis
Lineage: Eukaryota; Metazoa; Arthropoda; Insecta; Blattodea; Termopsidae
Source: RefSeq, a predicted model, not a curated record